Molecule: microRNA precursor, 75 nt
Filed under: Haemonchus placei
Lineage: Eukaryota; Metazoa; Nematoda; Chromadorea; Rhabditida; Trichostrongylidae
Description: mir-5928 microRNA precursor family
Rfam family: mir-5928 microRNA precursor family
Source: Rfam by way of RNAcentral
GGCACAAACUUGAAGUGGAGUACUUUAGUAGAGUUGGACAAUCCUACUAAACUACUUUACUUCAAAUUUGGGCCC